UGGACACUUCAUUGAUGAGUUUAUUCUAAAACACCUAUCUAUAGAUGGACUGGUUUAUUAUGAGCGAACAGGUUAAACUACGCCCAGUCAAGUGAAAUAAAUUGAGUAAUACAUAUAGUUGUACAAUCCAAAUUUCUGUAGAGUUUUGUUUUCUAUAAAACAACUAUUUUUAAUUCAACCUAUUUAUCCACACAGGUCAUAUGGUGGUGAUGAGUGCCAUAACAAUUUCUGUUAAUUGUUCAAUGAAUGAAAGUUAAAAGAGUGUUUAGAUGUUAAAAAAAUAAUUCUCAUUACUUUUGUUGUAUUUGGAGUUGAGUUUUCUCCUGAUGAUUUUUAAUAUCAGAAAUAUGUGCAUAACAAAAUUUACUAUUGUUUUUUGUUAUUUCAAACCUUACUUACAACAAGUAUCGUUAGAUUGGUUAAGGGGGCUCGCGGGUCUAAAUCGAUUUUUAUAUUUAAUAUAGGAUUUCGCUAUAUUUCUCUAUAAAUUUAAUUUUAUCUUAUACUUAAUAGAAAAAUGAAAUAAAAAAAUGGGGUUACCGUUCAUUUACGCUCACAAUCUGCCUUCAAAAGAAGCAUACAUUUUUGUUAAUGUCCUUUUUUUCUGUUGAACUAAUAGGAGAAAUAGCGGUAAUAUCAAAAUAAAAAAGGAACUAAAUUACAGAAAUUGCUUAAAUUUUACAAUUAUUUAGUUUAUGUACAGCUUAUUCAAAAACAACAUUAAAAAAUAUAGGUCACCAAUGAGUUAAAAAAAAAUGGCAUUUUUGCACCUAAGGGAAAUAAUUUUGAGCGUUUUAAGUGAUAUUUUCAUUUUAAAAGUCACCUGGGGCCAACACAAAUUGAUUUCUUGGAAUGAAUUUUUUACCGUAAGAUAAAGUAACAACUACUAAAGGUAAUAAAUAAAAUUUGUAAUGAAAAAUAAAUGUUUAAUUUUUUUCUAAAAAUCUUUAUACCCGCAAGCCUCCUUAAGGCUUUCAAAACAUGAUAUCAUAAUCUUAACGAAAGAAAAUUGCAUAUGUUAGAAAACCUGUCAAAAGAAUAAUAGAAAUGUAAGUUGUUAAUCUCCACUUAAACAAAUUUCCAAAAUUUCCAAAGGGAGAUAAUAUUGUAACAAAUUUUCAAAAAGGGAGAUAAUAUUGUAACAAAUUUCCAAAAAGGGAGAUAAUAUUGUACCAAUUUCCAAAGGGAGAUAUUAUUUAAAGGGGUAAAUUCAGUAAAUAAAUAUACGUCAUCAGGGACCGCCCAUUUAGGGGAGAGCUUUCUGUAUA
RNAcentral lists this long non-coding RNA (1268 nucleotides) under Mytilus galloprovincialis (Mediterranean mussel). The record is from RNAcentral. Lineage: Eukaryota; Metazoa; Mollusca; Bivalvia; Mytilida; Mytilidae.